This 253-nucleotide ribosomal RNA is filed under the name uncultured bacterium. Its description in RNAcentral is "partial 16S ribosomal RNA". It matches the Rfam family "Bacterial small subunit ribosomal RNA", at positions 524 to 776 of the family's 1533-position model. The record is from RNAcentral.
UACGUAGGUGGCAAGCGUUGUUCGGAAUUAUUGGGCGUAAAGGGCGCGUAGGCGGCCUGUUAAGUCGGUUGUGAAAGCCCGGGGCUCAACCCCGGAAAGUCGACCGAUACUGGCAAGCUAGAGUACGGAAGAGGUAGCUGGAAUUCCCGGUGUAGCGGUGAAAUGCGCAGAUAUCAGGAAGAACACCCGUGGCGAAGGCGGCUCUCUGGGACGGUACUGACGCUGAGACGCGAAAGCGUGGGGAGCGAACAGG